RNAcentral lists this long non-coding RNA (225 nucleotides) under Elaeis guineensis (African oil palm). RNAcentral's name for it is "long non-coding RNA (EGUI_LNC075550)". Lineage: Eukaryota; Viridiplantae; Streptophyta; Magnoliopsida; Arecales; Arecaceae. The record is from RNAcentral.
CCUCCUGCCACGAGCGACUUUACUACGAACUUCUUUCGGACUUCGUCAAUGUCCGAGCUUCUCCAACAGUAGGACUUCUACAGUAACCAGAUGCCAUCCAAGUUUCUACGGUGGUCGACCACCUUUCAAAUUUCAUCCGAGCUCCUACAAGAGCCGGAUCCCAGUCGAACUUCUACAACGGAUGGAUCCCGGAUGAAUUUCUACAACAGAUGGGCUCCACCAGCC